This 321-nucleotide ribosomal RNA is filed under the name uncultured bacterium. RNAcentral's name for it is "bacterial SSU rRNA". It matches the Rfam family "Bacterial small subunit ribosomal RNA", at positions 29 to 334 of the family's 1533-position model. The record is from RNAcentral.
AAUGAACGCUGGCGGCGUGCCUAACACAUGCAAGUUGAGCGGUGAGGCCCCUUCGGGGGUACACGAGCAGCGAACGGGUGAGUAUCGCGUGGGUAAUCUACCUUGAGGUGGGGGAUAGCCUCGGGAAACCGAGGGUAAUACCGCAUACGUCCUUAACGUCAUAAGGCGACGAGGGGAAAGGCGGGGCUCCUUCGGGACCUGUCGCCUCUGGAUGAGCCCGCGUCCGAUUAGCUUGUUGGUGAGGUAAUGGCUCACCAAGGCUUCGAUCGGUAGCCGGCCUGAGAGGGUGAACGGCCACAUUGGGACUGAGACACGGCCCAG